This 99-nucleotide Y RNA is filed under the name Aotus nancymaae (Ma's night monkey). RNAcentral describes it as "Y RNA (ENSANAG00000006230.1)". It matches the Rfam family "Y RNA". From Rfam's summary of the family: Y RNAs are components of the Ro ribonucleoprotein particle (Ro RNP), in association with Ro60 and La proteins. The Y RNAs and Ro60 and La proteins are well conserved, but the function of the Ro RNP is not known. The record is from Rfam by way of RNAcentral. Lineage: Eukaryota; Metazoa; Chordata; Mammalia; Primates; Aotidae.
GACUGGUCUGAGUGCAGUGGUAUUUACAAUUAAUUGAUCACAAGUUACAGAUUCCUUUGUUCUUUCUCCGCUCCCGCUGCUUCAAUUGACUAGCCUAAA